Leptonychotes weddellii (Weddell seal) is the source of this 3977-nucleotide non-coding RNA. The record is from RefSeq and is a predicted model, not a curated record. NCBI's taxonomy places the organism in Eukaryota, Metazoa, Chordata, Mammalia, Carnivora, Phocidae.
AUGAAUCUUAAACAAGCAAACAAACAAACAAAAACCAACAACCAGGAACAAAAGAAUCUCCAUAUUCCAGGCCAUUCAAAUGUCCAGAUCUCAUCAAUAGAAUUAAUUUACUCACAGAGUCCUUCCCCUGCAGUGGGAGAUCAAAGACUACAAACCAUGUUAAUGUCAUUACACAGCUGACGAUGUAGCACUCGCUUGGUCUGACCUAUAUAUCAGGGACUGAGUGAACUAGAGCAAGAGAAAGCAGAAAGGAUGCAACUAGAACUACCCCUCAUCCCAUUUACAUGGGUACUCUUACUGAGUAUAUCAGCUUUUUUGUACAGGCAUCAGAAUCUUGAAGCUAAAAAAAUUAAAGCCUUUAAUUACUAAUAGCUGGGAUCUGUGUUCUAAGUAGUUGGGAAUUGUCUAUUUUUCAACCUCAUUUCUAAUGUGCCUUUUAUUAUUUUUGGAAUGUUCUGACCUCGUUGGCAACAGUUGAAUUCGUUUUCAAACAUGGCCUCCAAAUCAGACAGCAAUUCCAGCCUGGUGGGGUGGGUGAGCUGGGCUGUGGAGCCGGGCUGACUAGGGGCCUUGUCCAAACGCAUGUGCAGCAGGGCCUUAGGCUAGUCACUAAACUUCUCUGUCUCUAUUUCCUAAGUAUUACACAGAGAUAAAGAUACUCACUGGGCUGUAUCUCCAGGAUCUAGAGCAAAUAUUUCAACAAAUAUUUGUUAGUUAAAGUAACAAUUAGCAAUUAUGAAUGUGAAAUGUCUGGUACCUAGAAAAUACUCAUUAAGUGAUAGCUAUUGUCAUAUUAACAUAAGCUAUGGGGAGGAUGUUGAAGGAGAGAAGCAGAAAGCAAAAAAUUUCAGAUAGUCCAGAUCACCGGUAAGAGUCCAAGAUUAGAUGCUAGGGCCAGCGUGAGUUUGAAAAUGUGGAAAAUUAAUAUUGACAGUUUGGAAGAAGAGAGGGAGUUGCUCUGAAUUAGGCUCAGUGUUCAGGGUUACCAACUGCCUGUCCAAACGGAAACUACACCUGUGGCUUUUUAAUAAUGUGUAAAUGUGAAUAAUCAACUCAUCAAGGUAAAGUCCUUAAGCUUUUUCUACCCAAUAUCAUUCCUAUACCCAAAGCCAUAUUGCAGAAAGAACUGAUAAAUGCAUGUUUUCUUAAUGCUACUGUGUGGCAGGAAUUUAAGUUAUAAUCUCUUUUCAAGGCACGUCUUUAUUAAAAGGGAAUUAUUCAAAGCCACCUGAGUGGCAAUUACUGCAUAAAGGCUAAUUGACCUAAUUAAUCUAAUGUGGGUCAAUGGCUCUAUACUACCCAAAGAACAUUUUCAAAUGAAAGGGGGGGAAAAAAAAGGAACUCCAAAAGGAAUUUCUUUAAGUGAACAUCUUUAAAUAUUGUGAGUCUGAUUUAUUUCUUGCACACAGAUAUAAUAUUGCAGCAUAUUAUAUUGCUGGAGUGGCUGAGCUGGGAUAAAAAGAGAUAGACUAAUUCUCUGAGGAUCCUGAGGAAUAUUCUGUUCAUCACUCAGGGGAAGGCACUAUAUAAAUUGCAUUAUAACAAUACUGCCUCUUUCUGAACAUAGCACCAAAAGAGGAAUUCAACAUGACAAGAAGUCAAAUUUACUAUCAUACUGUUUUGAUUCUCUUGGUGAUGUGAUAAAGUGCAUGCUGAUACCUGCUUUUUAUUUGAUUAACUUCAGCUUCUUUGAAUGCCAACUUGUUCCAUUUGAAGUACUGACUGCCAAAUAUAAACUGGGACUGAUAAUAUCUGGGUCCUAUGACUGAGGAGAGAAUGUAUAAUAUACACCUGUGGUAGGCAAAAUAAGGCCCCCAAAGAUACUCAUGUUUUAAUCUCCCAUAUUCGUGAAUGUGUCAAAUUACAUGGCAGAAGGGACCUUGAACAUAUGAAGUUAAGGGUCUUGGGAUGGGGAGAAUAUCCUGGAUCAUCCAGGUGGGCCGCAUGUACUCACAAGCUGUUCUUAUAAAUGAAGGAAGUAAGCAAGAGAGUCAGAGAAGGAGAUGGAAGGAUGGAAGCAAAGGCCAGAGAGAGAAAGAAAGGGAGACAGAUUUGAAGAAGCUACACUGCUAGCUUCAAUGAUGGGAAAAAGAGCCCCAAGUCAAGGGAUGCAGGCGGCUUCUGGAAAAGUCAAGGAAAUGGAUUCUCCCCUAGAGCCUCCAGAAGAGAUGUAGCUCUGGAUUUUAAAGUCAAACCGCCUUGAUUUUAGCCCAGUGACACUGAUUUUUGGACUUCUGACCUCUAGACAUAUAAGUAAUAAAUUUGUGUUGUUUUAAGCCAGAGUUUGUGGUGAUUUGUUAUAGCAGCAAGGGAAACUAAUGUGCCACCUUUGGGCUCAUGGCACAGAGCUACACUGAUGUCAUUUUAGUUGAAUUGAAAUGACUUUCCCAAACUGCACCUAUAAUCCAAGACCGAGCUAUGACGUAAACCAGGGAAGCACCACAGCAGAAGCUCUUCCUUUGCCUUUUAUUCAUCAAAGCUCACUUUGCUAGCUCCUUUAUUCUGAGGCCUUUAGAGAAAUGGAAAGUGAGUGAGGGGCUUCCUAAAUGUGAGAAGAAAUCAAUCCUGUCAUGAGUUAAUUCCCCUCUCCUAGGGUUUUAAACCCCAAAGAUAUUUUCUAAAAAGAUAUUUUCAACCAUAAACAGUGUCUUUUAAUCAACUUGGCCUCUGUUCUGUACUCAAAAUUAAACAAGCAUGAACCACUUAGAGGAUGAGGAAAAUGUCCACAAAGCCUUUAGAAAGUGGUUAAGUGUCUUCACUGGGAGUGCCUGGACAGGAUAUGCCAUUGGGUUAAUAGGGUAGAAUGGGAAGGAGCUUAGAGCAGCUGAUCAAAAUCUUACAUGGGGCGGAGAAAUUAAAAAAAAUGGUACUAUGAACAGCCACUGUGCUAAGGAGCACUUACAUCCGUUAUGUAACAUUAUCCUAUUAUCCCAUGCUUACCAUCCCUACUUUUAACGAGGAAAGUAAAGCUGAAGAAAUGGCACCAUCCCUACUCCAAGCCCAAGCUGUUAACCUCCACUCCACAUCAGAACUUCCCUGCCUAUCACUCAGAAAAUUUUCUAUAUGACAAAGCCAUGGCAGAUUUGUUGUUUUCUUGAUGUUCUGAGUGUGCCACCCCAGCAAAUUCUUGAAAUUGCAGGGAGAGUUUGCAAGAAGAAAUGUGUAUAUCACAUACGACACCAAGCCAAGUGCUAUUGCCAAAUGCAGUCAGAGAAUGGGCAGGUUGUGUGGUGCAAGCUUGGCUUUCUCUAAAGCGCACAGUUCUGAUGGGGCCAAUGGAAACGCCUGUUAACUGAUGACAUGAUAGUGACUCCGUUAGAAGAAAAGCAAACAAUGAAAAUAAUAAGUGCACAUUUGGAUUCUGACCAUUGCAAUGGUCCCAGUGAGGAAGAAAAGCUGGAGGAAUCCAGUGAGGUAGCAAACUUUUAGUUGGAUAGCAAGUUUUCUGACGGACAUGGAUGAACAGUGAACGGGCUGACACAUACCCAAGGUCUUGGAGUAACUCAAGUCUUAGAGGAAGACAAAUGUCCAGAAACAGGUAAAAAUGCUAAAGAAAAUUAAAAAUUUAGAGCACGGGGAGUUCUGGGAAGGAAAAAGCCCCAGCUUGAAAAUACUGAUGCUAAGUUAGCUUAUAGUAGCAGUGAAGAAAAGAACUUCUCCACUCCUAUUUUACUACCUUUUUUUUUUCCCCUGGGAAAGAAGACUGGAAGAUUGACUGGAAAGAAUGGAAUAAAUGUUAGUAAAAAGGACUGGAGCCCCAGCUUGUCCAAGAUUCCACAUCUGAACCAUUGCAUCCCAAGGGAAGGGGUAUGUAUAUACUGGAAAUCAGGGGGAUUUUAUAGACAAAGAGUAUUGGGAUUUCAGCCUCACCAAGAAUCUCAUGAUACCCUUAUGAAAGAACUAUGCGCUGGCUGUUCCAGUAUGUUUUAAAUGAUCUUCAAUGGUAGGCUCCAUGCUGGGCUCUCCAAUGAGGGGCU